Molecule: long non-coding RNA, 2419 nt
Organism: Mytilus californianus (California mussel)
Lineage: Eukaryota; Metazoa; Mollusca; Bivalvia; Mytilida; Mytilidae
Exons: 4
Source: RefSeq, a predicted model, not a curated record
CUCUAACCUUUAACAUCUGAUAUUUUUAUUAUCUAGAGCUCUGUAAAAAAAUAUACAAAAAAAAAUAUAAAAAAUGAAAAUACCAAAAAAUAAUAUGAUAACAAAACUGUUUGUAAACAGAGUUCUAGAUAAUAAACAUUGAGGAUGUUGUAAAAAGUAGGCAUAUUUAAAAUUUUGUUUAUUAUUAUGAAUAGUGCACUGUAUAAUUUAUAAAAAUGUGUAUUGUGAAGUCUUGGAAAAUUGUGAAACUUUAGAACUGUGUUUAUUUGAGAAGUCUAUAUUCAGUCUUCAAUGAUUGUCAUGGCAAUUGAGGACAAUAAAAUAUAGCUCUGUGUAGAAACUGACUUUUUUAUAUCAAGAAAGAUCCAACAAAAGUUUUCAAUGAUAUCUAAAGAGACAAAAGGCAGAAAUACUAAAAGGUUUUCUAUGAGAUUGGUGGAUUAUGUACAGUCAGACAACUGGCACACUCAAGCUAAAAGUUAAAUAGCUAUUAAAAUAAAAUUAUGGACUUGUAUAAUAACAUUAAUGAAGACAGAUGUUCUAAAGUGAAGACAUGUUCCUUCAUAAUGUUCUAUAGUGAAGACAUGUUCAUACAUAAUGUUCUAUAGUGAAGACAUGUUCCUACAUAAUGUUCUAAAGUGAAGACAUGUUCCUUCAUAAUGUUCUAUAGUGAAGACAUGUUCCUACAUAAUGUUCUAAAGUGAAGACAUGUUCCUUCAUAAUGUUCUAUAGUGAAGACAUGUUCAUACAUAAUGUUCUAUAGUGAAGACAUGUUCAUACAUAAUGUUCUAUAGUGAAGACAUAUUCCUACAUAUUGUUCUAUAGUGAAGACAUGUUCCUACAUAAUGUCUUAUAGUGAAGACGUAUUCCUACAUAUUGUUCUAUAGUGAAGACAUGUUCCUACAUAAUGUCUUAUAGUGCAGACAUGUUCCUACAUAAUGUUCUAUAGUGAAGACAGAUGUUCUAUAGCACAAACAGAUGUUCCUAAGUUGCAAUGAAGUGUUCAGAAGACAGACAGAGUUUCCUUUUGCAAUGAAAUUAUCCAGAACACAUAGUUGAUUAGAUUUCCAGUUCAUUACAUAUUCUGACAUUUUCUCAAGAAAAACACAAGAUUUCAAUGUUCAACCUGAAAGGAGAAAUUCUUAAAAUUUAUGCUGGACAUCUCAUAUCAAGGAUCCAUCACAAUAUUGAUAUUAGACUUGUGAAGAAUAUUCUGAUAAAUUAAUGAUGUACGACAAAUCGUGCUACAAGUAUCAUACCAGCAGAAUUAUUUGAUGGGAGUAAAACAUAGGAGCAGGAUCUCACCUCAUACAAGUGAGGAGGAACAGUUGAACUGAUGAACUUUGAACUGAUGAACUUGGAAACAUCUGAAAGGUAAUAAUACAUAAGAAAAACAGACCACCUAGAAUAAGAAAAGAGAAAGAGUUAACUCAUAGAGUAAAGGGUAAAAACAGACCACAUAGAAUAAGGAAAGAGAAAGAUUAACUCAUAGAGUAAAGGGUAGACGAAACUAUCAACACUUUGAAAUUAACAAGAGCAAUAAUCAACAUAACAGCUGCUUCAUCACCAUCUCAGAGGUUAGGUCUCUAACUGACUCAACUGAUGAACUUAUAACAAGCUUAACAGAUCAUCAGCAUAGUUGAACAAUGAACACUUCAGAGACAAAAUAUUCUUGGCAAUGAAAAUAUAUGACUGAAAUUUCAUAAUUGUAUAUGGUCAGUGGGAGAGAGAGAAAGAUGUAGAAUGGUCAGAGUGGGAGAGGGAGAACACUUAUGAUGAUGAGUGGGGAGAAAUAAAGAACAAUUAUUGCAACUGAUAAAUUUGUCUUCAACCAAACUCAUGGCUUGUGUUGAUGUGUCUAACCUUAGACAUCUGAUAUUUUUAUUAUCUAGAGCUCUGUUUAAAAAAAAAAUGUAAAAAAUAAUAUGAAAACAAAUUUUAAACAGUUCUAGAUAAUAAACAUUAAGGGUGGUGUAAAAAGUGGGCAUAUUUUAAAUUUUCUUUUUUACACCAAUGUAUUUAUGAAAUUUAAAACUUUAAAGUCAGAAUGUUUAAUUGGACGUACAAUUGUUUUGAUUUUAGAUAUUUGGAGACAAAACCUAUUCUUCUCCAUUUAUUACACUCUAAAAGUGUCAUUAAUUUGCAAUAUUCUUAUUUUGAUUGUCUUUGCUUAUACCUCUAACCUUAGACAUCCAAUAUUUUUAUUAUCUAGAGCUCUGUAAAAAAAAUGACAAAAUUGUAAAUAGAGUUCUAGAUAAUAAACAUUAAGGGUGGUGUAAAAAGUGGUUAUAUUUUUUAUAUUUUGAAUUCUCUCCCUCCCUAAUAUAUUUACGAAAUUAAAUACAAGAGAUAUUUAUUGGUAAAUGAUUUGUGUUGGAUAAGUUUUAUCCUUUCAUUAGUGUAUUUUAAAAAAUGUUUU